GUUAAGCGACUAAGCGUACACGGUGGAUGCCCUGGCAGUCAGAGGCGAUGAAGGACGUGCUAAUCUGCGAUAAGCGUCGGUAAGGUGAUAUGAACCGUUAUAACCGGCGAUUUCCGAAUGGGGAAACCCAGUGUGAUUCGUCACACUAUCAUUAACUGAAUCCAUAGGUUAAUGAGGCGAACCGGGGGAACUGAAACAUCUAAGUACCCCGAGGAAAAGAAAUCAACCGAGAUUCCCCCAGUAGCGGCGAGCGAACGGGGAGCAGCCCAGAGCCUGAAUCAGUGUGUGUGUUAGUGGAAGCGUCUGGAAAGGCGCGCGAUACAGGGUGACAGCCCCGUACACAAAAAUGCACAUGCUGUGAGCUCGAUGAGUAGGGCGGGACACGUGGUAUCCUGUCUGAAUAUGGGGGGACCAUCCUCCAAGGCUAAAUACUCCUGACUGACCGAUAGUGAACCAGUACCGUGAGGGAAAGGCGAAAAGAACCCCGGCGAGGGGAGUGAAAAAGAACCUGAAACCGUGUACGUACAAGCAGUGGGAGCCUCUUAAUGGGGUGACUGCGUACCUUUUGUAUAAUGGGUCAGCGACUUAUAUUCUGUAGCAAGGUUAACCGAAUAGGGGAGCCGAAGGGAAACCGAGUCUUAACUGGGCGUUAAGUUGCAGGGUAUAGACCCGAAACCCGGUGAUCUAGCCAUGGGCAGGUUGAAGGUUGGGUAACACUAACUGGAGGACCGAACCGACUAAUGUUGAAAAAUUAGCGGAUGACUUGUGGCUGGGGGUGAAAGGCCAAUCAAACCGGGAGAUAGCUGGUUCUCCCCGAAAGCUAUUUAGGUAGCGCCUCGUGAAUUCAUCUCCGGGGGUAGAGCACUGUUUCGGCAAGGGGGUCAUCCCGACUUACCAACCCGAUGCAAACUGCGAAUACCGGAGAAUGUUAUCACGGGAGACACACGGCGGGUGCUAACGUCCGUCGUGAAGAGGGAAACAACCCAGACCGCCAGCUAAGGUCCCAAAGUCAUGGUUAAGUGGGAAACGAUGUGGGAAGGCCCAGACAGCCAGGAUGUUGGCUUAGAAGCAGCCAUCAUUUAAAGAAAGCGUAAUAGCUCACUGGUCGAGUCGGCCUGCGCGGAAGAUGUAACGGGGCUAAACCAUGCACCGAAGCUGCGGCAGCGACACUAUG
Molecule: ribosomal RNA, 1174 nt
Filed under: Escherichia coli
Lineage: Bacteria; Pseudomonadati; Pseudomonadota; Gammaproteobacteria; Enterobacterales; Enterobacteriaceae
Description: partial 23S ribosomal RNA
Rfam family: Bacterial large subunit ribosomal RNA
Source: RNAcentral